Molecule: non-coding RNA, 21 nt
Filed under: Rattus norvegicus (Norway rat)
Lineage: Eukaryota; Metazoa; Chordata; Mammalia; Rodentia; Muridae
Source: RNAcentral
ACGCUAGAAGUGGGAAGAGCU